This is a non-coding RNA of Bactrocera oleae (olive fruit fly), 717 nucleotides long. NCBI's taxonomy places the organism in Eukaryota, Metazoa, Arthropoda, Insecta, Diptera, Tephritidae. The record is from RefSeq and is a predicted model, not a curated record.
GCACUUGAAUUCGCGCGAAGAUUGAAAUAAAUCUACAUUUUCUAUACAAAACACGAAUGCGACUGCUUUUUCACUUUUCACACUGUUUUUGUUGUGCACUUUCUGUUGUUAUUUUUCAUUUCUUUGUAACAGUCACUUUAUUAUUAUUGCGCUCUAGGUUCUGAGGUCCACUUCGAGCAGAUAUUAUUUUCAUCGUAUAUUCUCAUUAACGAGUAUUUAACUGAAUUAUUAAACGAGUAUAAAAAUUUGCAGUUAAAUACAUAACACUGUGUUUACCUACGCACAUAUGUACGCGAUUGCAACUUGUGUCAACAAAUAAACAACGCAAAUAUGUGUGCAGGAGGAGGAGGGGGAAGAAAAAAGAAUAAUAAUAAAACCCGCAGAAAUUACCUACACGCCAAUUGACGAUAAGCUGCAGUUAAAAGUAAGUAAGUAGGCAGCUGACAAGCACAGUGGGUUCGGGGCUUAUCAGCAGACAAAAAAAAAAACCAAAAAUAAUUACAAACUAUGUAAACUAGAAAAUUUCACAAUCGCAGCGCCAAUGCAAAGCUGAAGACGUAGGUGGAAGUAGGAAUGUCAAAAAUACGAAAUUAGAUGUAAUAAAUUAUGUAUGUAUGUAUGUAUGUAUGCAUGAGUCUACAGGAUAAGUAGAUGUAGAGCACUAAAUGCAUUCGUUAUCAAUAAAGAAAUUUAAUAAAAAUAAAAGGAUGAAUUAAA